Molecule: ribosomal RNA, 718 nt
Filed under: uncultured Chloroflexota bacterium
Lineage: Bacteria; Bacillati; Chloroflexota
Description: bacterial SSU rRNA
Rfam family: Bacterial small subunit ribosomal RNA
Source: RNAcentral
CUUAUUUCGGUAGGCUUCUAGUGGCGAACGGGUGAGUAACACGUUGGUGACCUGCCCCGAAGUGGGGGACAACUCCUCGAAAGAGGAGCUAAUACCCCGGAUGUCUGAGUGGUUAGAAGACUCAGACUAAAGUUUUUCGGAAUGCUUUGGGAGGGGCCUGCGGGCUAUCAGCUAGUUGGUGAGGUAAAGGCUCACCAAGGCGAAGACGGCUAGGGGGCGUGAGAGCGUGACCCCCCACAAGGGAACUGAGAAACGGUCCCUACUCCUACGGGAGGCAGCAGUGAGGAAUAUUGAGCAAUGGGCGCAAGCCUGACUCAGCAACGCCGCGUGGAUGACGAAGGCCUUCGGGUUGUAAAAUCCUUUUCUGGGGGAAGAUAAUGACGGUACCCCAGGAAUAAGUUCCGGCUAACUACGUGCCAGCAGCCGCGGCAAAACGUAGGGGACGAGCGUUAUCCGGAUUUACUGGGCGUAAAGCGCAUGUAGGUGGCGCGGAAAGUUGGACGUGAAAGCUCCCGGCUUAACUGGGAGAGGUCGUACAAAACUACCGAGCUUGAGGUUGGAAGAGGAGAGCGGAAUUCCCGGUGUAGUGGUGGAAUGCGUAGAUAUCGGGAGGAACACCAGUGGCGAAAGCGGCUCUCUGGUUCAAUACUGACACUGAGAUGCGAAAGCGUGGGGAGCGAACGGGAUUAGAUACCCCGGUAGUCCACGCUGUAAACGA